UGAGGAAGUUUGCAGAAGCUCUUGCAGACAGAAAGCAGCAAACGCCAAAGAUGAAGAGAAGGCUGUAUGGAUAGAAAAAGAGAGGGUGGGGAGAAAGGAGAGCGACGAGUUUAGGUUUCCUUUCUCUUCAGUCUUUCUGUCGUUUUUUUUGCGCGCGUUGUCUCUCUUCUCUUCUUCUCUCCCCAGUUUUUCUCAACCUGUUCAUCUCCAGAAUGGAUGGAAGGCUAGUCCUUACCAUCCUGGUCCUGUGUGUCAAGAAUGUUGUAACCUUUGAAAAUACGACAUCCACCUCCCAACCUCUCACACCAUCCAACUCCACUCCUGCUACCCCCGGUCCCACCACUUCCUGUGUGUGUAAUAUCUCCACUUCCUGUUCCCCUCCGACCAAGCCCAAGUCUCCGCCACCUGCGCUGGGUGUUGUCAAGAUCAACUGGCAAGCAAAGUCCUGUAAGGGGGACAUACACCUGUGUCUCCUCUUGGGUGGAGACACCUGUCUCUCCACCCAUUCCUUACCACUCUGCUUUAACAGUUGGGCCAAUCUUAGCCUUGAACUGGCAGAAUCGUGUGAGAGGAAGGGCUGCGGGGGCUCCGCUAAGUGGACUGAGACCCCUGCUAGCUCUGAGGGUUACCAGAUCGAUAGGGAUGGAAGGGUUACCAAUAACUCCUGUACAACACUGAUAAUCCAAUGCGAAGUCGUCCCAGAUCAGUUAGUGGGCUAUAAGGUGGUGACUGGACUGCUGUGUGUUCUGGUGCUGGUGGUGCUGAUGGUGCGUUUCGGGCAGCCCUCCCUCAAGGCCCUCCGUAAGAGAUUGUCAGACAAGAGACAGAGUCGGUGGAUCGGACCUACGCAGAGCCAAAGUGUCUCCUACCAUAGAGGGAAGGCUGGACUCCAACUUAACGACAACACAGACAAGAGACACUCCUACCCUGGAUUGGAGAGGCUGACGGUGAACACUAGCCGAGAGCCGUCGUCUAACAGAAACAGUGAUUAUGACUCUUAUAACUUGUGAUCAUCAUCUUCAUCAUCAUCAGUCAUAUUCUCCAUCCUCUAUGACAAAAUACUGUACAUGUAUUUUUUAUAUUUUAUUAUAUAUUUUUAUGCACAUAAUAUCAUUUUUUGUUAUUGUUUCUGUGUGUAAUUCAAUCAUUCACUUCUUUUAUUGAAUAAAAAGUAAAGUUUGUUGUUGAAUAAAACGUUUGGACCUCAUACUGAUAACUGAACAGGAUGUUGUCAGUGAGAGAGAGAAAGAAAGAAAGGCAAUUAAAAGCAGGAUUAAAGAAAGAGGGAGAGAAAAUAACAUUGUGAGAAAGAACGGG
Long non-coding RNA from Oncorhynchus tshawytscha (Chinook salmon), 1317 nucleotides. NCBI's taxonomy places the organism in Eukaryota, Metazoa, Chordata, Actinopteri, Salmoniformes, Salmonidae. The record is from Ensembl.